GUAGGUGGCAAGCGUUGUCCGGAAUUAUUGGGCGUAAAGCGCGCGCAGGCGGUUCUUUAAGUCUGAUGUGAAAGCCCACGGCUCGACCGUGGAGGGUCAUUGGAAACUGGAGAACUUGAGUACAGAAGAGGAAAGCGGAAUUCCACGUGUAGCGGUGAAAUGCGUAGAGAUGUGGAGGAACACCAGUGGCGAAGGCGGCUUUCUGGUCUGUAACUGACGCUGAGGCGCGAAAGCGUGGGGGAGCAAACAGGAUUAGAUACCCUGGUAGUCCACGCCGUAAACGAUGAGUGCUAAGUGUUAGGGGGUUUCCGCCCCUUAGUGCUGCAGCUAACGCAUUAAGCACUCCGCCUGGGAGUACGGCCGCAAGGCUG
Molecule: ribosomal RNA, 371 nt
Filed under: uncultured organism
Description: partial 16S ribosomal RNA
Rfam family: Bacterial small subunit ribosomal RNA
Source: RNAcentral